RNAcentral lists this long non-coding RNA (1193 nucleotides) under Rattus norvegicus (Norway rat). RNAcentral describes it as "long non-coding RNA NONRATT000298". The record is from RNAcentral. Lineage: Eukaryota; Metazoa; Chordata; Mammalia; Rodentia; Muridae.
UGAAGUUUGGUGCAUGUGUUUAUUUGGUUUUGUGGGAUUGGGAGGUGAGGGUUUUGUUGUUUUAAGACAGGGUUUCUGUAACCUGCAGCUUCAGUUUUCUCAGCUUUGAGAACACAGGCAGGUGCUACCAAGCUUAGCUGGUUUAACAUUUGACUUAGAAAACCCAUAGGCAUUUUUACAAGCGUAGCCUGUUAAGAGGAGCUAACCCAGUAUAGCCGUAGUUCUUGGGGAACUCCCACACAUAGGGGAGCGCAGGCCAGUUCUCGGUAUUGGAAGAGGUAGAUCCAAGGAGUGUGGAGGUAAAAAGCACUCAGCUUAAAAGCAGAGGCUGGUGAGGAAGAGAAGGUGGUAACAAUUCCAGUCUGUGGAUCCCAGAAGGCUCAGGACUGUCAGAGAACUGUUGGGGAACUCAGUUUCCUCAACGUAUCUUUGGUCCUGGGCCUUCCUGGCGUUACAUAGUUCCAUCCGAGAGGAGCUGACAGUGGGCCUACUGGGUAUCAGGAGGCCUACCUCAGAGAAUUUUCUCUUACAGGGUCUUGGGCAGCUGGAUCCUGUACAGCAUCCCUCCUUUCAUGAAUUAAUGAGGUUUAGUGGACAGAUGUGUCUGACUCUACUGGCAGAUGGGUGGGACAGGUGUGUCUUAUGCAUAGAUGGUAGCUGCAAGAUGGUUUUAUUGCUUUUUUGAGACAGGGUCUCACUAUGGACCUCCAACUGCUAUGUAGUCCUACUUGUCUCUGUCUCUUGUGUGCUGGGAUUAGACAUCUGACCUGUGUAAUUUUUUUUCUGCAGACUUUCUCAGUAGCCUCACACUGAUCUGGAGGGUUAACUUCAGAUCCUCCUGUCUCAGCCUCCCAAAGUGCUAGGGUUACAGGUCUACACCACUAUACCUCCAGGUGACGGGACGGGAGUUCCUAAAGAGCUGGACUCAACUUUACACAUGCACUCAUCCUCAACAGCAGACGUGCUCAUAGCAGUGACUCAUUCUUCCCACCCUCCUCUCUCCACAAAGGCUCAUCUUUCAACAGAACUGUUGCUCUGGAGCAGAUUGCCUUUUCCUAGACCUCCUGGCUUCCCCCACCUACCUGUGGCCACCAAAGGGACAUAGAUGACUCCAUCCUACACUGGGCUACAGAUAAGCUGUAUCUCUGUGACCUCAGAACCCAGAUUAAAGCCAAAUCCUCUGUGCUUACUUC